RNAcentral lists this ribosomal RNA (576 nucleotides) under Klebsiella pneumoniae. Its description in RNAcentral is "bacterial SSU rRNA". It matches the Rfam family "Bacterial small subunit ribosomal RNA", at positions 574 to 1144 of the family's 1533-position model. The record is from RNAcentral. Lineage: Bacteria; Pseudomonadati; Pseudomonadota; Gammaproteobacteria; Enterobacterales; Enterobacteriaceae.
GGCGGUCUGUCAAGUCGGAUGUGAAAUCCCCGGGCUCAACCUGGGAACUGCAUUCGAAACUGGCAGGCUAGAGUCUUGUAGAGGGGGGUAGAAUUCCAGGUGUAGCGGUGAAAUGCGUAGAGAUCUGGAGGAAUACCGGUGGCGAAGGCGGCCCCCUGGACAAAGACUGACGCUCAGGUGCGAAAGCGUGGGGAGCAAACAGGAUUAGAUACCCUGGUAGUCCACGCCGUAAACGAUGUCGAUUUGGAGGUUGUGCCCUUGAGGCGUGGCUUCCGGAGCUAACGCGUUAAAUCGACCGCCUGGGGAGUACGGCCGCAAGGUUAAAACUCAAAUGAAUUGACGGGGGCCCGCACAAGCGGUGGAGCAAUGUGGUUUAAUUCGAUGCAACGCGAAGAACCUUACCUGGUCUUGACAUCCACAGAACUUACCAGGAGAUGCUUUGGUGCCUUCGGGAAACUGUGAGACAGGUGCUGCAUGGCUGUCGUCAGCUCGUGUUGUGAAAAUGUUGGGGUUAAGUCCCGCAACGAGCGCAACCCUUAUCCUUUGUUGCCAGCGGUUUCGGCCGGGAACUCAAAG